UUACAACUUAAUCAUAGGCACGCAGGCCCGAUAAUAAACGAGAAAUAUAAUGGAGGUUCGCAGACCUCAAUAAUAAUAAUCACAAGUACACACAUCACACAGUCCAUGAUCAUCCGUCCACACAUCAUACAUCACAUGUAUAAAUAAUCAUCAUCAUGUAGGACUACUAGAUAAUAAUAAAAAUAAUAAUCAACUAAACCUUUUAAUUAAUUAAUAUUUUCUGAAAUCAGGGAUAUAUAGGGAAUUUCUCAAUUCCUAAGGGUAUUUUCAUAAUUUGGAUAAAAGACAGAAACUGGAAUUUCUCAAAUUCCGAGGGGCAAAACUGUCUUUUGCCCAGAAAACCCUAAUACCCUUUCCCCUUUUCGCUGUUG
Molecule: long non-coding RNA, 371 nt
Filed under: Musa acuminata (dwarf banana)
Lineage: Eukaryota; Viridiplantae; Streptophyta; Magnoliopsida; Zingiberales; Musaceae
Description: long non-coding RNA (MACU_LNC009333)
Source: RNAcentral